RNAcentral lists this ribosomal RNA (487 nucleotides) under Miconia neocoronata. RNAcentral's name for it is "eukaryotic LSU rRNA". The stretch from base 291 to 487 matches the Rfam family "Eukaryotic large subunit ribosomal RNA", at positions 1 to 197 of the family's 3401-position model. Lineage: Eukaryota; Viridiplantae; Streptophyta; Magnoliopsida; Myrtales; Melastomataceae. The record is from RNAcentral.
AUUCUUUGAACGCAAGUUGCGCCCGAAGCCAUUCGGCCGAGGGCACGCCUGCCUGGGUGUCGUGAAUGCCCUUGCCCCUAGGCACCCCGCAUGAGCAUUGGCGGGGAUUAUAUGCUCGGGCGCAGAAUAUGGUCUCCCGUGGGAUCGGCAUGCACGGCAUGUCGAGGUGCGGUUGGCCGAAAAUUGAGCAUGGCGGUGACGGGCACCACGGCGGUCGGUGGAUCGAAUGAGAUUGGCUCCGCCGUGGGCUCGGCAUGCGGCGGGCUCCGGACUUUGAAUAUCCCCGAGUGCGAUCCCAGGUCAGGCGGGGCUACCCGCUGAGUUUAAGCAUAUCAAUAAGCGGAGGAAAAGAAACUAACGAGGAUUCCCUUAGUAGCGGCGAGCGAACCGGGAAGAGCCCAGCGUGAAAAUCGUCCGUCAUCGGCGGCCGAAUUGUAGUCUGGAGAAGCGUCCUCAGUGACGGACCGGACCCAAGUUCACUGGAAGG